This 457-nucleotide long non-coding RNA is filed under the name Theobroma cacao (cacao). Its description in RNAcentral is "long non-coding RNA (TCAC_LNC001864)". The record is from RNAcentral. Lineage: Eukaryota; Viridiplantae; Streptophyta; Magnoliopsida; Malvales; Malvaceae.
UAAAUGAGUGUUGGGAGGACUAAAUUAAAAUGGAAGGAAACAAAAAGGGCAAAACGAUAAUGUUAUGUGAAGUUUGAUCAAAGCUUCCAAAGGAAGUUUUGACUCUGAUUUUUUUUCAGCCCAAAACUGCUCUUAUCUCCUCCAGCAAGAUGUUUCUUCUUCAUUCUUGAAGCUUCCAAUGCCAUUCUCUCAUUCUCCCAUGGAAAGUUAAUUUUCUUUCAUUUUCUUUCCUUGUUUUUUUUUCACUUCCUUUCUCUUCUUGCUUCUUUCUUCUCCCAACUCCUUGUGCACCAAAGUUAGAACUUCUAAACCCAAUUUCCAGCACUUCCAAACCCAAGGAGAGAGAAACAAAAAUCUCUCUUUCUUUCCUUUAUUUUCUAUUUCUACUUCACUUUCAACAACACUUGGAUUUUUGGCUUCAAAUCUUCAUUUUCAAGGUUGAAAGGUAUAUAUUUCC